Molecule: microRNA, 22 nt
Filed under: Petromyzon marinus (sea lamprey)
Lineage: Eukaryota; Metazoa; Chordata; Hyperoartia; Petromyzontiformes; Petromyzontidae
Description: pma-miR-4573
Source: miRBase by way of RNAcentral
GCUCGCGUGCGUGUUCGUAUGG